This 148-nucleotide unclassified non-coding RNA is filed under the name uncultured Xylariales. RNAcentral's name for it is "sequence contains ITS1". The record is from RNAcentral. Lineage: Eukaryota; Fungi; Ascomycota; Sordariomycetes; Xylariales.
CUGAGUUGCAAAACUCCCAAACCCAUGUGAACAUACCUGUUGCCUCGGCGGCCUACCCGGCAGCUACCCUGUAGCCACCCUGUAGCCCGCCGAAGGACCAUCAAAACUCUGUUUUUAUGUUUCUCUGAGUAAAAAUCAUAAUAAGUUA